RNAcentral lists this long non-coding RNA (221 nucleotides) under Gossypium raimondii (Peruvian cotton). Its description in RNAcentral is "long non-coding RNA (GRAI_LNC004116)". Lineage: Eukaryota; Viridiplantae; Streptophyta; Magnoliopsida; Malvales; Malvaceae. The record is from RNAcentral.
UAUUUUGAGCCUGUACGUAUAGUGCUGGCAGGGGCAACUACUCUUGUCCAUGUGAUCUUUGACUUGAGCAAAUUAGGAUUUAUUUCUUACUGUCCAUUCUAAUACGAAUACGUGACAUUACCCUUUGUUCAACACUUUUUUUUUUUUUUACUUUUUAAAUUAAUAUAUUUAUGUUUUCUUCAAUCUAUUUGUUAAACCCGUGAAGCUAUUGUUAUUGAUCG